RNAcentral lists this long non-coding RNA (4192 nucleotides) under Homo sapiens (human). Its description in RNAcentral is "LNC_000670". Lineage: Eukaryota; Metazoa; Chordata; Mammalia; Primates; Hominidae. The record is from RNAcentral.
UGCAGAGCUUACUUCUGGAUUCUGGGAGUGGGAAGAGUUGGGAGGCCAAGAAGCCCAAUGCAACGCUGCAGCUGAGCUCCUUUUAUUUCUGAGGGAAGCAAGGACUCAUCUUUUGCUCAUUUGUAACAAAUCACUCCAGCCUAGCUGAUGCUUUGGGGUAAACAAUGGAGUAGGAGUCAUCAUCAGAAUUAGAAUUAGCAGCAAUUAACAGGCAAUACACUGCCACAGUGAGGCGGGUGUCAUCCAGGUCCUGGGGACCUGCAGGCUGUGUAUCCUAGGGAGAGGUGCCAUUCAAGACCUGGCGCUGGCUCUGGAAGAGUCUCUUAACCUAAUGCAGCUGGGACUCAUUAGGCUCAGACGGCUCUUGACCACACUAAUUAUUAGCAAAGCUCUGGUGUUGGGUUCCAACCAUUGGUCAAAGCUGUAAUAAGACUGAGUCUGUAGGCAGAGUGAAGGGGGUGCCUGAGUAGGAAGGGGGAGGCCCGCUGGGAGAGGGUCAGUGGGCAGUGAUUGUAACAUGAUUAGGCCUUCCUUGCAGAUGGCGGCUGUGCUGAACGGGGAGUGGGGUUGGAAGGAGCCACAAGCCCCCUCACUCUGCCUUUGUACUACACUGAAGACAGGUUGCUCACAUACUCUAAAGCACAUUCUUGAUACAGGAAGAAGGGCUUGUGGGGAAAGCGGCGAUUUGGUAUUGGGCAAGAGCCACGUUAAGCCUUCAUGAGGGCAGCCACCACAGCCUUGGCAUUGAGGCUGCGUAGGUCACAGUAGGUCUGGCCGGUGCCCACAAAGACGAUGGGUUUGCUUGUGAUGUACGUCAUAGAAAUAGCAGCUCCCACCUAAGUGGAGAAAGAGGACAGCCCAUCAACACAAGCCCACUUUUCACUCACCCUCUCAGGAACAGGAAGCGCUGGAGCCAAGAUUUCCUUGCAGCCUCAGCUCCUUUGUGCAGGACGCCCAUUCCAGCCUCCAGUCUCACGUUUACCUUGUCAUCAAUGGUAUCAAAUUUGGUAAGAACAAUGCCAUCAAUGAGCCGAGGUGUCUGAGCCAUAGAAUGGUCAGCCAAGGCUCUGUUGAACUUGACCUGGAAAGAAAAAGUGAUAGAAGUGUAAGAACCAUCUAAAUUGACCAAAGCUCAAGUUGUAAAGGGAACUGGGCCCACGCUCUCACCAGCUGGUCCACGGCUUCAUUGCCUACUAAGGCUUCUCCUACAAACAGCACCAAAUCAGGUGUAUUGACAGUAAUGAGUUUGGCCAGGGCAGUCAUCAGAGGGGCAUUGUCUUGCAUGCGGCCUGCCGUGUCCACCAGCACCACGUCAAAGCCUUGGUUACGUGCUAGAGAAAGAAAGUAGUCAACUCUGAACACCUGGACUACCACUCAUGCUCGUUCCCAGCUUCCUCUCAAAAAGUCCUAGUUUGACUACCUGUUCACUGUCUUGGGCUCUGGAUUUGGUUCCAAGGUAAUGUGAGAAAAACUUGAUUAUAUGCUUGGCCAUCACCAAACAUAUUCAGGAAAAGGAGGACAACAGGAUGAAGGUGACCAAAUUCAGGUUUCUCUGGUUAAGGUAUAUUAGCUUUGCCUGCAACUACAUCUGUUAUCCAAAAGCAGAGCAUGGCAAGUAACUGAUCUGACUUUUUACUGUAAUUGACCAACGAGUCUGUAGUAGCACAAGCCUGAUCUUCUGCAAAUUCCAAGAGAACCCAAGGAGAAAAAGGGACCCCAAAUAAGCCCCCACACUUCCCAUGCACUGUACCAAAAGCAAUGGCUUCCAUGGCAAUGCCAGCAGCAUCCUUGCCAUAGCCCUUUUCAAACAACUGCACCAUGGUGCGGCCACCAUGCUUCUCUGGAGGGUGUAGGGCACUCAAACGCCGGGUGUGUGUACGCAGCUGCUCCACGGCCCCAGCACGAAAUGUAUCACAGGCAGCAAUGAGGACACUGAAGCCAUUCUCUAACAACCAGAAGGAAAUCUGUGAAAAAGACGUAAGAAAAGUCACCUAAAGCCAGGAUUUUGAGACACAAGAAGUACAGAAAUAUCAGCGAUAGGCUGGGGAACUGCACUGACCUUGGCAAGAUUAGUAGAUUUCCCCACUCCAUUAACGCCGCAGAAGGUGACGACAUAAGGGCGCUGGCGACGCUGGGCAUCCAUGAUGUCCCGGAGCAUGUCUACACGACGCUGUGGCUGCAGAAUCUGCACCAGGGACUCCUGUAGGGCUUGCUUUACUGUGGAAGUCACCGCUGAAAGGGGAGGUGGAGGAGGUUGCAGCUGUGAAACUCAAGGAAUGCUCUCAAAAAUGCCUAACACCUUUCUGAGCUAAGGGGACUAAAACAGUAAAUUAGACUCUUGUCCCAGAAAUCCAGAACAGACGCACAUUACAAGGACUAACUCACUGAAUCCUCUCAAUAACCCUUAAAAUCUAGGUUACAGAGGUUUAGAGGUUAAGGAAUUUGCCGAAAGUCACAUACCUAGUAAGAACUGAGGUCUAUGCACUUAACCUACACAUAAGCACUUUCUCACUUAGGUAAGUACUUACUGCUGAACGUCCCCAUCACCUUCCCUUCCAACUUGUUGGCAACAGAUUCACAGAGCUGGACGGCAAUGUCUGCAGCCACGUUCUUAGCUGAGGAGAGGGGGACAGGUAUGUCAGUUCCAUGUCAGCAAUGACCAAUCUUUAUGGUACAGGUGAGAAACGCUAGGUGAUUCUGCUCUCAACUACCCCUAUCCCGCGAGUAUGAGUCAGCCCGGUCCUCAGAACUUACCAAUGAGAUGAUCACGCAUCUUGUCCAGCACAGAUUCCAUGUCUUCACGACUCAAGCUCUUUGAACCCACAAGGCCCUUCAGCAUACCAAACAUGCCACCCAGUGUUCCCUUGGUCGCACUGCAGGGACAGGAGAUUACACAUACACAUAAAACCAGUAGGCAGGAGUUGUAUCUUACCAGUUUUGCAGAUGCAUAUACCAACCCCCACCUGAAAUUCCCCUACCUAGGUUUGGUAGAGUUUUGAGCAGCCCCUUCGUCAUCAGAGCUGCUGCAGUCCAGAUCCUGAAGCUGCCCCCCAGACCCAGUCCCUCGAAUCUGGAAGAUACGGGGAAAGGAUGUGGGGUCAGGAACACUAAGGUCUCUGAGGAAAACGUCCACAUUGCUCUAUCUCUUUCAUUUUGGGAAGCUCCAAGUAUAACUUACCCCUCAUUCAAAUCCCAGUAUCACGUUCCCACACUCUACUUCCUCCCAAUUUGUUGUUAAAGAUCACUUUGACCCCUGUUACCUCUUACCAGGUUGAUGUCCUCAGACAAGGCAGCCUCAGGGGUUCCAUUGGUGGUGGGAGUACUGUAAUCCAACACUUCUUUGUUAGCACAGCCACCCAGUUCCCACACCCGGGGUGCUUUUUUGCCCUUCUCCUUUGGAGCAUCUGACUUCGUGGACUUGUUGGACUUCUCCAUACCCCUCCCAUGCUUCUGAAUGAACUCCUCGCGCUUCCUGCGGAUCAGCUCCUCUUUGGAAAGUUCUACUCCGUUCUCAGGACCCACUGGAAGACCUGACUUUUCUGCAGGGACUGGUUUGCUGGUAGCCAAAGGACCAUCAGAACCUUCCUUCUUGGCCCCCUUUUUUUUGCUAUUCUUUGCUUUUUCCUUGGGCUUUUCCCCCCGUGUCUCAAUCAUGGACCUCACAGGUUUCUUGGCCUUUUCAGAAUCUUCAAAUUUCUUCAUGGUAGUGGGAGCACGGAUCUUACUGCUCUCCUCUGCUUCACUAAACAAAAAGGAGAAUGGUUUAUCUUUCUACCCCAUGCAGAAGGAAAAAUAACGGUCCAGAGAAAGGACUCUCACACCCAAGAGGACAAUGAGAACUGGGUAGCAAAUUAGGAAUGUCUUUGAACACAUCAAUUUACCACCUUUGAACCACCUUCAGAGAGGUCAUCAAAUCAUGGAAAUAAAUUGAUUUUAGAGAAGGCAGGUCUCUCACCGAAGGAGCCGCAGGAAGUCAUUUUGGAAAUCAAAAGUGCCAUUUAAUAAACUUAAAGCACUUUGCUGUUGGAUCUCUGUGCGGUACUUGUCCCGAAACAGCCGAUGCACGUCAUCUAUCAAUUUGUCUACAUAUGUCAGUGUCAGGAUCUUCUGAAAACCAACCUGUUUAGGGGAAGAAACAGCCAACAGAUCUGCUUACAUACUAGCCUAGAAUGGAGGGACGCCAACUCAACCC